GGCUCGUUAGCUCAGUUGGUUAGAGCAUCAGACUUUUAUUGUUGGAGGUCGUGGGUUCAAUUCCCACACGAGCCC
This is a non-coding RNA of Aethina tumida (small hive beetle), 75 nucleotides long. Lineage: Eukaryota; Metazoa; Arthropoda; Insecta; Coleoptera; Nitidulidae. The record is from the annotation of a RefSeq genome assembly.